AGGUUCGGAAUAACAGCGAGAAAUUGCUGCUAAUACCGGAUGAUAUCGCGAGAUCAAAGAUUUAUCGCCUGAGGAUGAGCCCGCGUAGGAUUAGCUAGUUGGUGUGGUAAAGGCGCACCAAGGCGACUGAUCCUUAGCUGGUCUGAGAGGAUGAUCAGCCACACUGGGACUGAGACACGGCCCAGACUCCUACG
Molecule: ribosomal RNA, 194 nt
Filed under: uncultured Sphingomonas sp.
Lineage: Bacteria; Pseudomonadati; Pseudomonadota; Alphaproteobacteria; Sphingomonadales; Sphingomonadaceae
Description: partial 16S ribosomal RNA
Rfam family: Bacterial small subunit ribosomal RNA
Source: RNAcentral